RNAcentral lists this ribosomal RNA (482 nucleotides) under uncultured bacterium. RNAcentral describes it as "bacterial SSU rRNA". It matches the Rfam family "Bacterial small subunit ribosomal RNA", at positions 30 to 506 of the family's 1533-position model. The record is from RNAcentral.
UUGAACGCUGGCGGCAUGCCUUACACAUGCAAGUCGAACGGUAACAGGGAGCUUGCUCCGCUGACGAGUGGCGAACGGGUGAGUAAUAUAUCGGAACGUGCCCUGGAGUGGGGGAUAACUAGUCGAAAGAUUAGCUAAUACCGCAUACGAUCUAAGGAUGAAAGUGGGGGAUCGCAAGACCUCAUGCUCGUGGAGCGGCCGAUAUCUGAUUAGCUAGUUGGUAGGGUAAAAGCCUACCAAGGCAUCGAUCAGUAGCUGGUCUGAGAGGACGACCAGCCACACUGGGACUGAGACACGGCCCAGACUCCUACGGGAGGCAGCAGUGGGGAAUUUUGGACAAUGGGCGCAAGCCUGAUCCAGCAAUGCCGCGUGAGUGAAGAAGGCCUUCGGGUUGUAAAGCUCUUUUGUCAGGGAAGAAACGGUGAGAGCUAAUAUCUUUUGCUAAUGACGGUACCUGAAGAAUAAGCACCGGCUAACUACGU